UCAAGGUGAGAGAUACGGAGGUAGAGCACUGAAUGUCCUAGGGGGUAUUGCACCUACCGAAGACUAUCAAACUCCGAAUGCCGUCAUCUUAUACUUGGGAGUCAGACUGUGGGUGAUAAGAUUCAUAGUCGAAAGGGCAACAGCCCAGAUCGUCAGCUAAGGUCCCUAAAUGUAAGUUAAGUGGUAAAGGAUGUGGGAUUGCACAGACAACCAGGAUGUUGGCUUAGAAGCAGCCACUCAUUCAAAGAGUGCGUAAUAGCUCACUGGUCGAGUGAUCCUGCGCCGAAGAUUUCCGGGGCUAAAACUUACUACCGAAGCUACGGCAUCAGUAAUGAUGGGUAGGGGAGCUUCCCAUACGGGUUGAAGCAUGACCGUAAGGACAUGUGGACAGUAUGGGAGUGAGAAUGUUGGCAUGAGUAGCGAGAUGUGGGUGAGAAUCCCACAGGCCGUAAACCCAAGGUUUCCAGGGGAAGGUUCGUCCGCCCUGGGUUAGUCGGGACCUAAGCUGAGGCCGAAAGGCGUAGGUGAUGGACAACAGGUUGAUAUUCCUGUACUACCGAUAACCGUUUGAGAGAAGGGAUGACACAGUAGGAUAAGCUAAGCACACUGUUGGUUAUGUGUGCCCAAGCAUUGAGGCAGUCAAAGUAGGCAAAUCCGCUUUGAUAAUGCUGGGAUGUGAUGGGGAGCGAAAUUUAGUAGCGAAGUAGCUGAUUUCACACUGUCAAGAAAAGUCUCUAUCGAGGUUAAAGGUACCCGUACCGCAAACCGACACAGGUGGGUGAGGAGAGUAUCCUAAGGCCAGCGAGAGAACUGUUGUUAAGGAACUCGGCAAAAUGACCCCGUAACUUAGGGAUAAGGGGUGCCACCAUCAGGUGGCCGCAGAGAAUAGGCCCAAGCGACUGUUUACCAAAAACAUAGGUUUCUGCUAAGUCGCAAGACGAUGUAUAGGAGCUGACGCCUGCCCGGUGCUGGAAGGUUAAGGGGAUCUGUUAGAGCAAUCGAAGCAGUGAACUUAAGCCCCAGUAAACGGCGGCCGUAACUAUAACGGUCCUAAGGUAGCGAAAUUCCUUGUCGGGUAAGUUCCGACCCGCACGAAAGGCGUAACGAUUUGGGCACUGUCUCAACAACAGACUCGGUGAAAUUGUAAUUCCGGUGAAGAUGCCGGAUACCUGCGACAGGACGGAAAGACCCCAUGGAGCUUUACUGUAGCUUGACAUUGGGUCUUGGUACUACAUGUACAGGAUAGGUGGGAGGCUUUGAAACCAGGACGCCAGUUUUGGCGGAGCCAUCCUUGGGAUACCACCCUUGUAGUACUGGGACUCUAACCAUAGGCCAUGAAUCUGGUCUUGGGACACUGUCAGGUGGGCAGUUUGACUGGGGCGGUCGCCUCCCAAAAGGUAACGGAGGCG
RNAcentral lists this ribosomal RNA (1409 nucleotides) under Clostridioides difficile. RNAcentral's name for it is "bacterial LSU rRNA". It matches the Rfam family "Bacterial large subunit ribosomal RNA", at positions 882 to 2308 of the family's 2925-position model. The record is from RNAcentral. Lineage: Bacteria; Bacillati; Bacillota; Clostridia; Peptostreptococcales; Peptostreptococcaceae.